AACGAACGUUGGCGGCGUGCUUAACACAUGCAAGUCGUACGAGAACGACCCGGCUUGCCGGGACUAGUAAAGUGGCGCACGGGUGAGUAACACGUGAGUAAUCUGCCUCCAAGCUUGGGAUAACAUUGCGAAAGCGGUGCUAAUACCGGAUGAGACCACAGUACCAUAUGGUACAGUGAGAAAAGAUGGCCUCUGUUUCAUGCUAUCACUUGGAGAUGAGCUCGCGGACCAUUAGCUUGUUGGUGGGGUAAUGGCCUACCAAGGCGAAGAUGGUUAGCUGGUCUGAGAGGAUGAUCAGCCACACUGGAACUGAGAUACGGUCCAGACUCCUACGGGUGGCAG
Molecule: ribosomal RNA, 342 nt
Filed under: uncultured Pseudomonadota bacterium
Lineage: Bacteria; Pseudomonadati; Pseudomonadota
Description: bacterial SSU rRNA
Rfam family: Bacterial small subunit ribosomal RNA
Source: RNAcentral